This 300-nucleotide signal recognition particle RNA is filed under the name Pan troglodytes (chimpanzee). RNAcentral describes it as "Metazoan signal recognition particle RNA". It matches the Rfam family "Metazoan signal recognition particle RNA". Rfam says of the family: The signal recognition particle (SRP) is a universally conserved ribonucleoprotein. It is involved in the co-translational targeting of proteins to membranes. Lineage: Eukaryota; Metazoa; Chordata; Mammalia; Primates; Hominidae. The record is from Rfam by way of RNAcentral.
GCCAGGUGUGGUGGCGCGUGCCUGUAGUCCCAGCUACUCAGGAGGCUGAGGCAGGAGGAUCGCUUGAGGCCAGGAGUUCUGGGCUGCAGUGCACUAUGUUGCCUGGGCGUCUGCGCUAAGUUCAGCAUCAAUAUGAUGACCUCCCGGGAGCAGGGAACCACCAGAUUGCCUAAGAAGGGGUAAACUGGCCAAGGUUGGAAACAGAGCAGGUCAAAACUCCCAUGCUGAUCAGUAGUGGGAUGGUGCCUGUGAAUAGCCACUGUACUCCAGCCUGGGCAACACAGCAAGACCCCAUCCCUA